GCCUGUGAUGUCUGCACCGGGAGAAAACUGAAAGCCUGAGGAUCCUGAAGAAGGUGUCGCUUACGCCUCCGUCAGCUACACCAAGAAUUGUAACAGCAAAGUCAAGGCUGAUGAUGACGAUGAAGGUGAAGCUGUGACGUACAGCACUGUGAGAGUUUCCUCCCCUGGUGCUGAAGCCUCCGUUGAUCCCAGCGGCCUCUAUGCCACCAUCAACAAACCAAACAAUGGAGAGACAAACGGAUAGUUAUCAUGUCAUUAAUCUGAUAUCAUAUGUAUAUCUUAAGAGAAG
This is a non-coding RNA of Labrus bergylta (ballan wrasse), 289 nucleotides long. The record is from RefSeq and is a predicted model, not a curated record. Lineage: Eukaryota; Metazoa; Chordata; Actinopteri; Labriformes; Labridae.